RNAcentral lists this ribosomal RNA (23 nucleotides) under uncultured fungus. RNAcentral's name for it is "partial 28S ribosomal RNA". Lineage: Eukaryota; Fungi. The record is from RNAcentral.
UUGACCUCGAAUCAGGUGGGACU